Molecule: unclassified non-coding RNA, 218 nt
Filed under: uncultured fungus
Lineage: Eukaryota; Fungi
Description: sequence contains ITS1, 5.8S rRNA gene
Rfam family: 5.8S ribosomal RNA (bases 170-218)
Source: RNAcentral
UUUCCGUAGGUGAACCUGCGGAAGGAUCAUUACACGAUUUCGGUUAACACCGUUUUCACCCUUUGUUUAUACGUACCACAUGUUUCCUCGGGGGGCUUGCCUGCCGGUUGGACAACUUUAUAACCUUUUUAAAUCUUCAAUCAGCGUCUGAACAAUAUACAAUAAUUACAACUUUCAACAACGGAUCUCUUGGUUCUGGCAUCGAUGAAGAACGCAGC